GUGGGGAAUUUUGCGCAAUGGGGGAAACCCUGACGCAGCAACGCCGCGUGAGUGAUGAAGGCCUUCGGGUCGUAAAGCUCUGUCAGAGGGGAAGAAAUGCAGGGGUGCUAAUAUCAUCUUUGCUUGACGGUACCCUCAAAGGAAGCACCGGCUAACUCCGUGCCAGCAGCCGCGGUAAUACGGAGGGUGCGAGCGUUGUUCGGAAUUAUUGGGCGUAAAGCGCGUGUAGGCGGUUUGGUAAGUCUGAUGUGAAAGCCCCGGGCUCAACCUGGGAAGUGCAUUGGAAACUGUCAGACGUGAAUACGGGAGAGGGUAGUGGAAUUCCUAGUGUAGGAGUGAAAUCCGUAGAUAUUAGGAGGAACACCGGUGGCGAAGGCGGCUACCUGGACCGAUAUUGACGCUGAGACGCGAAAGCGUGGGGAGCAAACAGGAUUAGAAACCCUUGUAGUCC
This 451-nucleotide ribosomal RNA is filed under the name uncultured bacterium. RNAcentral describes it as "partial 16S ribosomal RNA". It matches the Rfam family "Bacterial small subunit ribosomal RNA", at positions 354 to 796 of the family's 1533-position model. The record is from RNAcentral.